GAGGAGGAGUUUUCAGGACCUCCAGUGAAUGUGAUAGUAGAGCUGCUUCUAGCGUUAUCGUUCUGUAUGUGGGCUGCUUUAACUGCAGCGGGAAAGUUCCUUUCCGUACAUCAUCAUUCUGAAGAGAAUAGGUAUUGUAUAUUUUUAUCUGCUUUCAUUUGUUAAAUGGGAUUUCUUGUCAGUGUAUUUUAGACUGGAGGAUUCUAUGCAAUUCAUUUGGGAGGGGUUUAUUACUUGCUGUCCAUGGCAUAAUAGCUAAAUUCUGAUUAGUUGAUAACAUUAGUUGAUAACAUUGUCAAAAGAUUCUUGUGAAAGUUUUCAUUAACUCCUAAUUCAUGUUGAUUGUCGAAUAGGCCUUUUUGAGAUUCUUAAGUAAUGAUUUCUAUAUUAACCCCAAAAAUGAUGAGCUUAGAUUAGCUGAAUAAUUUGAAAUUUAAUUUUUUUGUUGAGAAAUUUAGCCCCACAUACAAUAUUAUUCAAUCAAUGAACUCUGCACAUUGAAAAGGCAAAAGGACAACCUUGGUUAAAUCAAAAUGGGAUAUGCUGGAUAGCUGAUUUGCAUAUAAAAGGCGCAAGUAAACAACAACUCAAGUUGCUUUUUUCAAUAAUUGCAAUUAGAAUUAGAUCAUUCCUUAUAAAAUUUGAUACUGUAUAUGCUUGAAACAAUAUUAAAGGUCUAUGGAUGUUGCUUGAGUUGUUUGAUACAUGGCAUGUUUUGAUUAGGCUUUACAGCUAACACCUAUUUAAAAAGCAGUUUGUAAUUCAAGGGUGAAACAAAUCCAUGAUAUCGCCUUUUGUUGAGAUUGUUCAUUGUAAGGCUCAUUAAUUGUGCUUUCUAAUCCCAUAAACUUGUGCUUUCUAGUCCCAUAAACUAUGUUGUUGCCUUGUACUCUAAUUGUGCUUGUGACACUUGUUUCUUAACUAAACUAAACUAAACUAAGUCUUUAUCUCAAAAAUU
This 958-nucleotide unclassified non-coding RNA is filed under the name Hevea brasiliensis (rubber tree). Lineage: Eukaryota; Viridiplantae; Streptophyta; Magnoliopsida; Malpighiales; Euphorbiaceae. The record is from RNAcentral.